GUCUGAUCCAGCCAUGCCGCGUGAAGGAUUAAGGCCCUCUGGGUUGUAAACUUCUUUUAUAGGGGACGAAAAAGGGGCUUUCUAGCUCAACUGACGGUACCCUAUGAAUAAGCACCGGCUAACUCCGUGCCAGCAGCCGCGGUAAUACGGAGGGUGCAAGCGUUAUCCGGAUUCACUGGGUUUAAAGGGUGCGUAGGCGGGCAUUUAAGUCAGUGGUGAAAUCUUGGGGCUCAACCCCGAAACUGCCAUUGAUACUAUUUGUCUUGAAUACUGUGGAGGUUAGCGGAAUAUGUCAUGUAGCGGUGAAAUGCUUAGAUAUGACAUAGAACACCGA
Molecule: ribosomal RNA, 334 nt
Filed under: uncultured Bacteroidota bacterium
Lineage: Bacteria; Pseudomonadati; Bacteroidota
Description: bacterial SSU rRNA
Rfam family: Bacterial small subunit ribosomal RNA
Source: RNAcentral